GUUUGACGUUAGCUGCAGAAGAAGCACCGGCUAACUCCGUGCCAGCAGCCGCGGUAAUACGGAGGGUGCGAGCGUUAAUCGGAAUUACUGGGCGUAAAGCGCAUGCAGGUGGUUUGGUUUAAGUUCAGAUGUGAAAGACCCGGGGCGUCAACCUCGGAAUUGCAUUUGUAAACUAGGCAGACUAGAGUACUGUAGAGGGGGGUAGGAAGUUUCAGGUGUAGCGGUGAAAUGCGUAGAGAUCUGAAGGAAUACCGGUGGCGAAGGCGGCCCCCUCGGACAGAUACUGACACUCAGAUGCGAAAGCGUGGGGAGCAAACAGGAUUAGAUACCCCUGGUAG
RNAcentral lists this ribosomal RNA (338 nucleotides) under uncultured bacterium. RNAcentral describes it as "bacterial SSU rRNA". It matches the Rfam family "Bacterial small subunit ribosomal RNA", at positions 467 to 793 of the family's 1533-position model. The record is from RNAcentral.